Molecule: long non-coding RNA, 390 nt
Filed under: Physcomitrium patens
Lineage: Eukaryota; Viridiplantae; Streptophyta; Bryopsida; Funariales; Funariaceae
Description: long non-coding RNA (PPAT_LNC005989)
Source: RNAcentral
GAACUUAGUAAAAGAAAAUAGAACUAAACAGAAGCAAAUAGAAUCAAAUAAGAAAAAAUAGCCAAAUUUUACUAAAAAAAAGUGUUUGAAGCUAUACUUGACCAAAUGCCCAAAUAGCCUUAGCCAAUCCUAUUUAUACUUUGUUCAACUACCUUGGAACUUUCUAGAAUAUCUCUAAUGGUGGAUCCUACCAAGAUAAUUACCUUUUUAGAAGAUUUUAGAGAUAGGCCUUAGUAUGAUAACUAUCCUAAAUCUUUCUAGAAGGUUUUAUGGUAGAUCCCACAAGAACCACCAUCUUAAUCUCAAUUCUAGAAACUUUCUAAAAAUAAUUCUAAUUAUAUAUCUCUAUAUACAAAUAAUACAAAUAUCCUAUCUAUGCCUUAUUACAUA